Molecule: ribosomal RNA, 380 nt
Filed under: uncultured Bacteroidales bacterium
Lineage: Bacteria; Pseudomonadati; Bacteroidota; Bacteroidia; Bacteroidales
Description: bacterial SSU rRNA
Rfam family: Bacterial small subunit ribosomal RNA
Source: RNAcentral
GCUAGCUACAGGCUUAACACAUGCAAGUCGAGGGGUAGCAGGGUAGCAAUACCGCUGACGACCGGCGCACGGGUGAGUAACACGUAUCCAACCUUCCCAUAACUCGGGGAUAGCCUUUCGAAAGAAAGAUUAAUACCCGAUAGUACUUAAGAAAGGCAUCUUUUUUAAGUUAAAGAUUUAUUGGUUAUGGAUGGGGAUGCGUUCCAUUAGAUAGUUGGUGAGGUAACGGCUCACCAAGUCUUCGAUGGAUAGGGGUUCUGAGAGGAAGGUCCACCACAUUGGUACUGAGACACGGACCAAACUCCUACGGGAGGCAGCAGUGAGGAAUAUUGGUCAAUGGGCGAGAGCCUGAACCAGCCAAGUAGCGUGAAGGAUGACGG